This 1102-nucleotide ribosomal RNA is filed under the name Staphylococcus aureus. RNAcentral's name for it is "bacterial SSU rRNA". The stretch from base 1 to 730 matches the Rfam family "Bacterial small subunit ribosomal RNA", at positions 798 to 1533 of the family's 1533-position model. Lineage: Bacteria; Bacillati; Bacillota; Bacilli; Caryophanales; Staphylococcaceae. The record is from RNAcentral.
CGCCAUAAUGAGUGCUAGUGUUAGGGGGUUUCCGCCCCUUAGUGCUGCAGCUAACGCAUUAAGCACUCCGCCUGGGGAGUACGACCGCAAGGUUGAAACUCAAAGGAAUUGACGGGGACCCGCACAAGCGGUGGAGCAUGUGGUUUAAUUCGAAGCAACGCGAAGAACCUUACCAAAUCUUGACAUCCUUUGACAACUCUAGAGAUAGAGCCUUCCCCUUCGGGGGACAAAGUGACAGGUGGUGCAUGGUUGUCGUCAGCUCGUGUCGUGAGAUGUUGGGUUAAGUCCCGCAACGAGCGCAACCCUUAAGCUUAGUUGCCAUCAUUAAGUUGGGCACUCUAAGUUGACUGCCGGUGACAAACCGGAGGAAGGUGGGGAUGACGUCAAAUCAUCAUGCCCCUUAUGAUUUGGGCUACACACGUGCUACAAUGGACAAUACAAAGGGCAGCGAAACCGCGAGGUCAAGCAAAUCCCAUAAAGUUGUUCUCAGUUCGGAUUGUAGUCUGCAACUCGACUACAUGAAGCUGGAAUCGCUAGUAAUCGUAGAUCAGCAUGCUACGGUGAAUACGUUCCCGGGUCUUGUACACACCGCCCGUCACACCACGAGAGUUUGUAACACCCGAAGCCGGUGGAGUAACCUUUUAGGAGCUAGCCGUCGAAGGUGGGACAAAUGAUUGGGGUGAAGUCUAAGGGGGGACCCCCAAAAAAAUUUUUUUGGUUCCCCUCUUUGGCCCUAAGUUGCCAAAAGCUGGGGCUCCAAAGGGGGGUAUUCCCCCCCGGGGGGUCCCGAUCUCCCCCUGGCUUGUUUUCCCAGCCCGCAAGGGGGUAGUCCCUCUGUGCGCGGCGGGGGGCCGGGUGUUUCGCGGGUGGCGGGGGGGGGGUCCGCGGGGGGGGGGGGGGGGGGGGUUUUGUGGUGAGGAAAUUUCAAAAGAGCCGGGAACGCGGGGGGGGGUUCGCGCCGAAGAUUUUUGGGGGGGGAAAGGGGGGGGGGCCCCAAAAGGUGAUAACGGGGGGGGGGGGGGGGGGGCCUUUGUAUUUGCGGCGGGGGGGGUGUGGGAUGUGUGGGGGGGGGGGGGGGGGGGGGGGGGGGGGGGGGGGGUCG